CUAGUGUAACAGUUCACAGCCCUGGUUACUGUGGAUUUUAGUAGGCUGUAGUUACACUACCAUCCUCUGGGGGCUCUACUCGCUUAUAAACUAGAGAAGAUAGCACUGUAAAGGAGUAGAGGAAGGGAUGGCUUUGUUAGGAAGAAGCAGGCGCUGCGUCCCAAAUCGCAUACUCAAUGAGUAGGUACUCAAUUUCAGUAGGUACGUACUCAACGGGGCUAAAUGGGUACGUACUGUUUUCCCUGAAUGGGUGUAGUAUGAAUGCGAUCGGCCGUUGUCCGCCAUAUUGAUGAUCUUCUUUUCCUUUUUAAUGGCGGGGAGCAAAUUACGGUUGUGGUGCAUAUCCGCCACCUACUGUACUGGAGUGUACAUGGCCAGAGAUUAAUUAUGCGACGUAAUAACAAGCGCAACAACUUAAGCUGUGAGAGACAGGUGCAUUAACAUCAGUAACGCUACAACUUUACCUUCCAUGAGUUUUCCCAGCAUUUGCAACAUGUUUGUAAUGCCUUCACAAAGGAGACGUCGGAUAACUGCUCGACGAUCUCGCCUUAGGAGAGCACUGCUGAUUUUAUUGUCAAGGAAUGCGUUGAACCCCACAUCCUACUGCCAUCUCGCAGCGGACCACCGUCGCCACCUUCGUGAUUUUAACGAGUGUGCUCAUCUGUCCCUGUAACAGUCAAACAAGAUUCAAGUGACCUCUGUGGUUUGUGCUCAAUACUCCAUUUAAAUGUGUAGGUAGUUGCACAUGUGUUAAACUCGCUGUUAUUCAACUCAAAUUUUCAUGAGUUCAUCAUCAGUAGGCUACUAAUGGACAAAUAAAAUAUAUACAUUAUGUUUAGUGACUUAAGUAAAUAUGUUUAUUUACAUGACUUAUAUGUAUCUAUGCCAGCAGUGAACAAUGCUUUGUACCACAUAUUAACAGACGUAAGCUCCAUAACUGUGAUGUGCAUUUCAUAUUGUGAUGUGCUCAUUUUCAAUACUUCUCGAGAAAUGACAUGUCACAUGUUACACAGACAUUAAAAAGCGUCUGUAACUUGCGUAUGGUUUUAAUAUAUGUAACGUUAAGUCUACUUCGAAGACGCGUGUGUGCGUGGAACGCCCCUUUAUGCUAUACAUAUUAAAACACUGCACUUUCACAGCAAAAUCACAAAUAUACUUUACUAUGUAGCAUCUUACAGGUUAACUUUACGCUACAGCACUUUAACAAAUGCGACUGCAACGCAAAGAAACACGUUGUUGGCUAGUAAUAGUCACUUUUGAAAACACCUGCCUCGCAGUUCUCCGCCAUGCUCCUGUAAGAAUUUAUCCUGUCCCGUGGGCUCAUGGGAUAGAGAAGUAUCCCAAGUAUCUGUCGCUGGGUGCUUCAGAAUGUGGGCGUAACCAGUAAGCCAUCCGGGAAUUUCUCACCUACUCUUUUAUGAAUACUGAGGAUCGGGACAUACUAUAUUGUUUUCACAUACUAUAUAGUAGGUAAGUAGGCGGUUUCGGACGCCACAGUAGUAUACACAUGUCCAAAUCUCGCGAGAAAUAGUGCACCAGGCGUAAAUUUCUCGCCUACUGUUUUAUGAAUACUGAGGUUUGGGACAUACUACUCUUUCGCCUACUGCUUUUUGCCUACUAUAGCCUAUAGUAUGACAGUAUGCGGUUUGGGACGCAGCAAGGGUCUGUUCACAUGCUACCUACAAACAUAUAGAGUCCGGAUUGAGAAACCUUUUCUUGUUUCAAGCUCAAUCUAUAAGGACUCUUUGGUGUAGGCAGUUGUUCCCUACUGCUACAUAAAGCAAGGAUAUGGAUUAAAGGGGCAAUGCUGAGGUUCAUACGGCACCUUCUAUCAUGAACCAUUGAACUGUUUGGAGCACUUGGUGGAAACUGAUGUUUGAACACGACAUUGAGAAUAAUUGGACAGGAUAUCGUCACUAUCUUCAUUUCCCUCUUCAUUCACGAUAAGUACAGCGUUAUGAGGACACAAAAGAACGUUUUGGACAUUGUUUAUUGGACUUUGAGUCGAUAAUGUUACCAUCACUGUUUUAUUGCUUCAUCUCAUGUAAUAAUGUAUCUGUCUCAUGUCUUUGCUUCAUAUGAUUAAUAAUAAUCUGAUAAAUGAAAAUUAUGGUUGGUGGAUCCCUCCCUCAUAAAUAUAUGUAAUGUCACUUUUUCUUGAUAUAUAGAGAGAAGAAUAUUACACUAGAAACAUGUUAAUUGACUGCAUUUUGUGUGAAAACAACAUGAAUUGUGUUAAUGGCAUGGUCACAACAGACGGAUGUUGUGCUAAUUGUGUUUAGAGUUUUGAAAAUGUGACUACAGAUCGGUCAAAGGGAUGUUAGCAAUUGAAAAAAACUGUAAUAGAUCUAAACAACAAAUGUUAUAUACGAAGUUAUAUGUAUAGGCUAUAUGUCUGAAUUAAUUCUUGCACUGAUCUUUCAGCACAUAAGAGCAAAAAUAAAUAA
Long non-coding RNA from Triplophysa rosa, 2447 nucleotides. RefSeq lists it as uncharacterized. The transcript has 3 exons. Lineage: Eukaryota; Metazoa; Chordata; Actinopteri; Cypriniformes; Nemacheilidae. The record is from RefSeq and is a predicted model, not a curated record.